RNAcentral lists this ribosomal RNA (163 nucleotides) under uncultured bacterium. Its description in RNAcentral is "partial 16S rRNA". It matches the Rfam family "Bacterial small subunit ribosomal RNA", at positions 355 to 510 of the family's 1533-position model. The record is from RNAcentral.
UAGGGAAUCUUCGGCAAUGGACGAAAGUCUGACCGAGCAACGCCGCGUGAGUGAAGAAGGUUUUCGGAUCGUAAAACUCUGUUGUUAGAGAAGAACAAGGGUGAGAGUAACUGUUCACCCCUUGACGGUAUCUAACCGGAAAGCCACGGCUAACUACGUGCCA